GACGAACGCUGGCGGCGUGCUUAACACAUGCAAGUCGAACGAAGAGCGACGGAAGCUUGCUUCUAUCAAUCUUAGUGGCGAACGGGUGAGUAACGCGUAAUCAACCUGCCCUUCAGAGGGGGACAACAGUUGGAAACGACUGCUAAUACCGCAUACGAUCUAACCUCGGCAUCGAGGAUAGAUGAAAGGUGGCCUCUACAUGUAAGCUAUCACUGAAGGAGGGGAUUGCGUCUGAUUAGCUAGUUGGAGGGGUAACGGCCCACCAAGGCGAUGAUCAGUAGCCGGUCUGAGAGGAUGAACGGCCACAUUGGGACUGAGACACGGCCCAGACUCCUACGGGAGGCAGCAGUGGGGAAUCUUCCGCAAUGGACGAAAGUCUGACGGAGCAACGCCGCGUGAGUGAUGACGGCCUUCGGGUUGUAAAGCUCUGUUAAUCGGGACGAAAGACCUUCUUGCGAAUGGUGAGAAGGAUUGACGGUACCGGAAUAGAAAGCCACGGCUAACUACGUG
This 510-nucleotide ribosomal RNA is filed under the name uncultured bacterium. RNAcentral describes it as "partial 16S ribosomal RNA". It matches the Rfam family "Bacterial small subunit ribosomal RNA", at positions 28 to 507 of the family's 1533-position model. The record is from RNAcentral.